This 85-nucleotide transfer RNA is filed under the name Parastagonospora nodorum SN15. Its description in RNAcentral is "Phaeosphaeria nodorum SN15 tRNA-Ala for anticodon UGC". It matches the Rfam family "tRNA". From Rfam's summary of the family: Transfer RNA (tRNA) molecules are approximately 80 nucleotides in length. Their secondary structure includes four short double-helical elements and three loops (D, anti-codon, and T loops). Further hydrogen bonds mediate the characteristic L-shaped molecular structure. tRNAs have two regions of fundamental functional importance: the anti-codon, which is responsible for specific mRNA codon recognition, and the 3' end, to which the tRNAs corresponding amino acid is attached (by aminoacyl-tRNA synthetases). tRNAs cope with the degeneracy of the genetic code in two manners: having more than one tRNA (with a specific anti-codon) for a particular amino acid; and 'wobble' base-pairing, i.e. permitting non-standard base-pairing at the 3rd anti-codon position. The record is from Rfam by way of RNAcentral. Lineage: Eukaryota; Fungi; Ascomycota; Dothideomycetes; Pleosporales; Phaeosphaeriaceae.
GGGCGUGUGGCUCAGUGGUAGAGCGUCCGCUUUGCAUGGUACCAUGGUUUGCGGAAGGUCCAGGUUUCGAUCACCUGCCCGUCCA